This 422-nucleotide ribosomal RNA is filed under the name uncultured bacterium. Its description in RNAcentral is "bacterial SSU rRNA". It matches the Rfam family "Bacterial small subunit ribosomal RNA", at positions 355 to 774 of the family's 1533-position model. The record is from RNAcentral.
UGAGGAAUAUUGGGCAAUGCCCGCAAGGGUGACCCAGCAACGCCGCGUGGAGGAUGAAUGUCGUAAGAUUGUAAACUCCUGUUAGAGGGGAAGAAUAGUACCGGUUGGACCGGUAUAUGACUGUACCCUCAGAGAAAGCCCCGGCUAACUACGUGCCAGCAGCCGCGGUAAUACGUAGGGGGCAAGCGUUGUCCGGAUUUACUGGGUGUAAAGGGCGCGCAGGCGGGAUAAAAAGUCAGUGGUGAAAUCCUACAGCUUAACUGUAGAACUGCCUUUGAUACUUUUAUUCUUGAGUUCGGUAGAGAGAGACGGAAUUCCAGGUGUAGUGGUGAAAUACGUAGAUAUCUGGAAGAACACCAGUUGCGAAGGCGGUCUCUUGGUCCGACACUGACGCUGAGGCGCGAAAGCGUGGGGAGCAAACA